CACGCAGGCGGUCUGUUAAGUCAGAUGUGAAAUUCCAGGGCUUAACCUUGGGGCUGCAUUUGAUACGUGUAGACUAGAGUGUGAGAGAGGGUUGUGGAAUUCCCAGUGUAGAGGUGAAAUUCGUAGAUAUUGGGAAGAACACCGGUGGCGAAGGCGGCAACCUGGCUCAUUACUGACGCUGAGGCGCGAAAGCGUGGGGAGCAAACAGGAUUAGAUACCCCCGUA
RNAcentral lists this ribosomal RNA (225 nucleotides) under uncultured Asaia sp. RNAcentral's name for it is "partial 16S ribosomal RNA". It matches the Rfam family "Bacterial small subunit ribosomal RNA", at positions 568 to 792 of the family's 1533-position model. The record is from RNAcentral. Lineage: Bacteria; Pseudomonadati; Pseudomonadota; Alphaproteobacteria; Acetobacterales; Acetobacteraceae.